RNAcentral lists this small RNA (86 nucleotides) under Saimiri boliviensis boliviensis (Bolivian squirrel monkey). RNAcentral describes it as "Y RNA (ENSSBOG00000010173.1)". Lineage: Eukaryota; Metazoa; Chordata; Mammalia; Primates; Cebidae. The record is from RNAcentral.
GCCCAGUCCAAGUGUAGUGGUGUUUAAAACUAACUAAUCACAACCAGUUACAGAUGUCUUUGUUCUCCACUAGCACUUAGCCUUAA